Non-coding RNA from Saimiri boliviensis boliviensis (Bolivian squirrel monkey), 1035 nucleotides. The record is from RefSeq and is a predicted model, not a curated record. Lineage: Eukaryota; Metazoa; Chordata; Mammalia; Primates; Cebidae.
AUGACGACGCCGGCGAAUGCCCAGAAUGCCAGCAAGAAGUGGGAACUGAGUCUGUAUGAGCUGCACCGGACCCCGCAGGAAGCCAUAAUGGAUGGCACAGAGAUUGCAGUUUCCCCUCGGUCACUGCAUUCGGAACUCAUGUGCCCUAUCUGCCUGGACAUGCUGAAGAAUACAGUGACCACCAAGGAGUGCCUCCACAGAUUCUGCUCUGACUGCAUUGUUACAGCCCUGCGGAGCGGGAACAAGGGGUGUCCUACCUGCCGAAAGAAGCUGGCAUCCAAGCGAUCCCUACGGCCAGACCCCAACUUCUUCGAUGCCCUGAUCUCUAAGAUCUAUCCCAGCCGGGAGGAAUACGAGGCCCAUCAAGACCCAGUGCUCAUCCGCCUGAGCCGCCUGCACAACCAGCUGGCAUUGAGCUCCAGCAUUGAGGAGGGGCUGCGCAUGCAGGCCAUGCACAGGGCCCAGCGUGUGAGGCGGCGGAUACCCGGGUCAGAUCAGACCACAACGAUGAGUGGGGGGGAAGGAGAGCCUGGGGAGGGAGAAGGAGAUGGAGAAGAUGUGAGCUCAGACUCCGCCCCUGACUCUGCCCCAGGCCCUGCUCCCAAGCAACCCGUGGAGUGGGUGCAUGGGGGAGCAGUGUAGGGACAGGAGGAGGUGGCACUGGUGGGGUGGGUGUGGGUGCCGGUUCGGAAGACUCUGGUGACCGGGCAGGGACUCUAGGAGGGGGAACCCUGGGCCCCCCCAAGCCCUCCUGGGGCUCCCAGGCCCCCGGAGCCAGGUGGAGAAAUUGAGCUUGUGUUCCGGCCCCACCCGCUGCUUGUGGAGAAGGGAGAAUACUGCCAGACAAGGUAUGUGAAGACAACUGGGAAUGCUACAGUGGGCCAUCUCUCCAAGUACUUGGCCCUGCGCAUUGCCCUUGAGCGGAGGCAGCAGCAGGAAGCAAGGGAGCCCGGAGGGCCUGGAGGGUGUGCCUCGGACACCGGAGGACCUGUCGAUAGGAAUACAAGAAAAGGAAUUCUCAGCUAUUGUUGGUAG